CAGCCGCCACGGUAAUACGGAGGGGGCUAGCGUUGUUCGGAAUUACUGGGCGUAAAGGGCGCGUAGGCGGCCAUUCAAGUUAGAUGUGAAAGCCCUGGGCUCAACCUAGGAAUUGCAUUUGAUACUGUUUGGCUUGAGUUCGGGAGAGGUGAGUGGAACUCCCAGUGUAGAGGUGAAAUUCGUAGAUAUUGGGAAGAACACCAGUGGCGAAGGCGGCUCACUGGACCGACACUGACGCUGAGGCGCGAAAGCGUGGGGAGCAAACAGGAUUAGAUACCCCCGUAGUCCCUGUCUCUUAUAC
This 301-nucleotide ribosomal RNA is filed under the name uncultured bacterium. RNAcentral's name for it is "partial 16S ribosomal RNA". It matches the Rfam family "Bacterial small subunit ribosomal RNA", at positions 509 to 807 of the family's 1533-position model. The record is from RNAcentral.